UAGGGAAUCUUCGGCAAUGGACGAGAGUCUGACCGAGCAACGCCGCGUGAGUGAAGAAGGUUUUCGGAUCGUAAAACUCUGUUGUUAGAGAAGAACAAGGACGUUAGUAACUGAACGUCCCCUGACGGUAUCUAACCAGAAAGCCACGGCUAACUACGUGCCAGCAGCCGCGGUAAUACGUAGGUGGCAAGCGUUGUCCGGAUUUAUUGGGCGUAAAGCGAGCGCAGGCGGUUUCUUAAGUCUGAUGUGAAAGCCCCCGGCUCAACCGGGGAGGGUCAUUGGAAACUGGGAGACUUGAGUGCAGAAGAGGAGAGUGGAAUUCCAUGUGUAGCGGUGAAAUGCGUAGAUAUAUGGAGGAACACCAGUGGCGAAGGCGGCUCUCUGGUCUGUAACUGACGCUGAGGCUCGAAAGCGUGGGGAGCAAACAGG
This 429-nucleotide ribosomal RNA is filed under the name Chloroflexota bacterium. RNAcentral describes it as "Chloroflexi bacterium partial 16S ribosomal RNA". It matches the Rfam family "Bacterial small subunit ribosomal RNA", at positions 355 to 776 of the family's 1533-position model. RNAcentral also lists the same sequence under 1 other name. Lineage: Bacteria; Bacillati; Chloroflexota. The record is from RNAcentral.